RNAcentral lists this ribosomal RNA (805 nucleotides) under Psychrobacter nivimaris. RNAcentral describes it as "bacterial SSU rRNA". It matches the Rfam family "Bacterial small subunit ribosomal RNA", at positions 72 to 873 of the family's 1533-position model. Lineage: Bacteria; Pseudomonadati; Pseudomonadota; Gammaproteobacteria; Moraxellales; Moraxellaceae. The record is from RNAcentral.
AUGGUAGCUUGCUACCAGGCGUCGAGCGGCGGACGGGUGAGUAAUACUUAGGAAUCUACCUAGUAGUGGGGGAUAGCACGGGGAAACUCGUAUUAAUACCGCAUACGACCUACGGGAGAAAGGGGGCAGUUUACUGCUCUCGCUAUUAGAUGAGCCUAAGUCGGAUUAGCUAGAUGGUGGGGUAAAGGCCUACCAUGGCGACGAUCUGUAGCUGGUCUGAGAGGAUGAUCAGCCACACCGGGACUGAGACACGGCCCGGACUCCUACGGGAGGCAGCAGUGGGGAAUAUUGGACAAUGGGGGAAACCCUGAUCCAGCCAUGCCGCGUGUGUGAAGAAGGCCUUUUGGUUGUAAAGCACUUUAAGCAGUGAAGAAGACUCUUCGGUUAAUACCCGGAGACGAUGACAUUAGCUGCAGAAUAAGCACCGGCUAACUCUGUGCCAGCAGCCGCGGUAAUACAGAGGGUGCAAGCGUUAAUCGGAAUUACUGGGCGUAAAGCGAGCGUAGGUGGCUUGAUAAGUCAGAUGUGAAAUCCCCGGGCUUAACCUGGGAACUGCAUCUGAAACUGUUAGGCUAGAGUAGGUGAGAGGGAAGUAGAAUUUCAGGUGUAGCGGUGAAAUGCGUAGAGAUCUGAAGGAAUACCGAUGGCGAAGGCAGCUUCCUGGCAUCAUACUGACACUGAGGCUCGAAAGCGUGGGUAGCAAACAGGAUUAGAUACCCUGGUAGUCCACGCCGUAUACGAUGUCUACUAGUCGUUGGGUCCCUUGACGACUUAGUGACGCAGCUAACGCAAUAAGUAGACCGCC